Non-coding RNA from Myotis davidii, 74 nucleotides. Lineage: Eukaryota; Metazoa; Chordata; Mammalia; Chiroptera; Vespertilionidae. The record is from Rfam.
GGCAGUUCUCGGGUGACGCACCCCAUAAUUGGGCUCCCUCCUCUCUGGUUCCGGCGUGUCACCUGAGAACCACC